GACGUAGGGCGCGAGCGUUGUCCGGAUUUAUUGGGCGUAAAGAGCUCGUAGGCGGCUUGUCGCGUCGACUGUGAAAUCCCCGCGGCUCAACUGCGGGUCUGCAGUCGAUACGGGCAGGCUAGAGUUCGGUAGGGGAGACUGGAAUUCCUGGUGUAGCGGUGAAAUGCGUAGAUAUCAGGAGGAACACCGAUGGCGAAGGCAGGUCUCUGGGCCGAUACUGACGCUGAGGAGCGAAAGCGUGGGGAGCAAACAGG
Molecule: ribosomal RNA, 254 nt
Filed under: uncultured bacterium
Lineage: Bacteria
Description: partial 16S ribosomal RNA
Rfam family: Bacterial small subunit ribosomal RNA
Source: RNAcentral